This 491-nucleotide ribosomal RNA is filed under the name Cryptococcus sp. EMU_2_Y1. RNAcentral's name for it is "eukaryotic LSU rRNA". It matches the Rfam family "Eukaryotic large subunit ribosomal RNA", at positions 98 to 595 of the family's 3401-position model. Lineage: Eukaryota; Fungi; Basidiomycota; Tremellomycetes; Tremellales; Cryptococcaceae. The record is from RNAcentral.
CCGGGAUGAGCUCAAAUUUGAAAUCUGGCGUCUUUCAGGCGUCCGAGUUGUAAUCUAUAGAGGCGUUUUCCGCGCCGGACCGCGUCCAAGUCUCUUGGAAUAGAGUAUCAAAGAGGGUGACAAUCCCGUACUUGACGCGACAACCGGUGCUCUGUGAUACGUUCUCAACGAGUCGAGUUGUUUGGGAAUGCAGCUCUAAAUGGGUGGUAAAUUCCAUCUAAGGCUAAAUAUUGGCGAGAGACCGAUAGCGAACAAGUACCGUGAGGGAAAGAUGAAAAGCACUUUGGAAAGAGAGUUAAACAGCACGUGAAAUUGUUAAAAGGGAAACGAUUGAAGUCAGUCGUGUGAAAGGUAUUCAGCCGUCUCUGGCGGUGUAUUUGCCUUUCACGGGUCAACAUCAGUUUAGUCCGGUAGAAAAAGGCUGGAGGAAGGUGGCACCCUCGGGUGUGUUAUAGCCUCCUGUCACAUGUGCCGGAUUAGACUGAGGAACG